This is an RNA transcript of Dermacentor silvarum, 2099 nucleotides long. RefSeq lists it as uncharacterized. NCBI's taxonomy places the organism in Eukaryota, Metazoa, Arthropoda, Arachnida, Ixodida, Ixodidae. The record is from RefSeq and is a predicted model, not a curated record. The transcript has a single exon.
AUGGAACACGUUAUCCAGUCCAGACUUCUUCGCUACCUCGAAGACAACCACCUCCUACCAGACACGAUGUUCGGUUUCCAUCCUCACUUAGCAGCCCCCGACAUAAUGCUUCUUCUCCAUCACCAGGUAGUCAUGCGUCGCACACUAGACACGAAAGUCAUCGUCGGCCUCGAUGUUGCCAAGGCCUUCGACAAUAUCCUCCAUGAAGCGAUUCUUCAACAACUCCAGACUCUCGGCGUCGGACAUCGCACGUAUGCAUACGUCCGAGACUUCCUGACCGACCGCAAGAUACAACUCAGCGUCGGCACGUGACAUCCCUCCAUCAUCUCUCCUGGCAACCGCGGCACGCCGCAAGGCUCAGUGCUCUCGCCGCUGCUUUUCAACGUUGCACUGAUAGGCCUGCCCAAGCUUCUGGCUGACAUUCCCCACCUACACGACAGCGUUUAUGCUGACGAUCUUACUCUUUGGAUCACACACGGCAGUGACGGCGACAUCGAAGAGACUCUCCAGACCGCCAUCGAUCGGGUCGGAGGCUAUCUGGAUACAGUUGGCCUCAGCUGCUCGGCGACUAAGUCAGAGUAUAUAAUCAUCCCGUCCCCAGGACGACGCCCACCAAAAAUACUUCCUGAGAUCAACCUCCAGGUGCAAGGAAACCCCAUCCCUCGUACAGAUCACAUCAGGAUUCUGGGCCUACACCUACAGGCAAACGGCAGCAACAAUAUAUCGCUCCAACGCAUCGACCAGUCGGUGCUACAGAUCGGACGUCUUCUCAAGCGAGUCUCCAACAAGCACCGAGGUAUGCGAGAGUGCAACCUCCUGCGCCUCGUCCAAGCCUUCAUCUGCUCCCGCAUCACCUACUCCGCACCUUACUUAGGUCUCAUCCGCGCCGAAAGCGAACGGCUAGAGGCGUCACUUCGAAAAGCAUACAAGACGGCCCUGGGUCUUCCCAUGUCAACAGCUACUCACAAGCUUAUGGCUCUUGGCAUCUCCAACACCGUGAGCGAACUGAUCGAAGCUACCCUCACCGCCCAAUACGAGCGGUUGUCACUCACACACGCUGGCCGCGCGGUACUGCAGCAAGUUGGGAUCUCACCAACGAGGGCGGCCCCCAAUUAUAUUGACCUUACACAGGAAUAUCGUCAAAAUCUCCGAAUACCUCCCAUUCCCAAACGGAUGCAUCCGGAACACCACGCCGAGAGACGGGCCGAUCGUGCACGACAGUUCGAGAAACGCUUCAGUGGACGUCCAGAUGUCACGUAUACGGACGCCUCUUACCACCCCUCGAAACCAGCGAUGGUGGCGGCAGCCCUCGCCCCGCACCGCAGCUGGUACACAGCCUGCAGCAUUCGCAACGCAGAAACAGUCACCGCAGUAGAGGAGGUUGCCAUUGCGCUUGCGCUAGCUGAUCCUAUUACCAAAGUCGUCAUAAGUGAUUCUCAACAGGCGAUCCGCAACUACGAUGCCGGCCGUAUCUCUCGCCCGGCAUCACACAUUCUGCAUUCUACUUCCCCCUCCUCCACAUCCCGCUUACUCCUGUGGGCUCCAGCCCAUGAAUCGCUCAGGGGAAACGUCCAGGUGCAUACACUUGCUCGAGAUCUUAGCUGCCGAGCCGAGUGUAGGAUCCACCGCCCCGAUUCCCCUGACACCACUAUCUCGCGGGAUUCUCUACUCACCACUUACACGGACAUCCUCCAGUACUACCGACUCGGGAGAUGCAUAUAUCCUCCCGCACACCGUGAUCUAACAAGGCGCGAGGCCGUCCAAUGGCGCAAACUACAAACAGGUAGCUUCCCACACCCCCUCUUAUACAGUAAAAUCUUUCCGCAACAAAUAACGCCUCGGUGCAAACACUGCUCAGCUCCGGCCACUCUCAUACACAUGGCGUGGACUUGUACGCACGACAACACAGACAAAACAAACAAGCCAGAGUCGUGGGAGUCCCUCCUGCGUAGCUCCGAGCCAGCAGACCAACGUCGGCUCAUCCAGCGUGCGGUGGAGGCCGCGGAAUCCCAAGGGAUCCCCGCCGACCUCCUCUAAGCCAGCGCAACCGGUCCUUGGACUGGUCCCCUCUUUUUGGGCGAAAUAAAGAAUUCACCACC